GGGUUGUGAGGUUAAGCGACUAAGCGUACACGGUGGAUGCCCUGGCAGUCAGAGGCGAUGAAGGGCGUGCUAAUCUGCGAUAAGCGCCGGUAAGGUGAUAUGAACCGUUAUAACCGGCGAUACCCGAAUGGGGAAACCCAGUGUGAUUCGUCACACUAUCAUUAACUGAAUCCAUAGGUUAAUGAGGCGAACCGGGGGAACUGAAACAUCUAAGUACCCCGAGGAAAAGAAAUCAACCGAGAUUCCCCCAGUAGCGGCGAGCGAACGGGGAGGAGCCCAGAGCCUGAAUCAGCAUGUGUGUUAGUGGAAGCGUCUGGAAAGGCGCGCGAUACAGGGUGACAGCCCCGUACACAAAAGCGCAUGUGCUGUGAGCUCGAUGAGUAGGGCGGGACACGUGGUAUCCUGUCUGAAUAUGGGGGGACCAUCCUCCAAGGCUAAAUACUCCUGACUGACCGAUAGUGAACCAGUACCGUGAGGGAAAGGCGAAAAGAACCCCGGCGAGGGGAGUGAAAAAGAACCUGAAACCGUGUACGUACAAGCAGUGGGAGCACCCUUUGGGUGUGACUGCGUACCUUUUGUAUAAUGGGUCAGCGACUUAUAUUCUGUAGCAAGGUUAACCGAAUAGGGGAGCCGGAGGGAAACCGAGUCUUAACCGGGCGUUAAGUUGCAGGGUAUAGACCCGAAACCCGGUGAUCUAGCCAUGGGCAGGUUGAAGGUUGGGUAACACUAACUGGAGGACCGAACCGACUAAUGUUGAAAAAUUAGCGGAUGACCUGUGGCUGGGGGUGAAAGGCCAAUCAAACCGGGAGAUAGCUGGUUCUCCCCGAAAGCUAUUUAGGUAGCGCCUCGUGAAUUCAUCUCCGGGGGUAGAGCACUGUUUCGGCUAGGGGGCCAUCCCGGCUUACCAACCCGAUGCAAACUGCGAAUACCGGAGAAUGUUAUCACGGGAGACACACGGCGGGUGCUAACGUCCGUCGUGAAGAGGGAAACAACCCAGACCGCCAGCUAAGGUCCCAAAGUCAUGGUUAAGUGGGAAACGAUGUGGGAAGGCCCAGACAGCCAGGAUGUUGGCUUAGAAGCAGCCAUCAUUUAAAGAAAGCGUAAUAGCUCACUGGUCGAGUCGGCCUGCGCGGAAGAUGUAACGGGGCUAAACCAUGCACCGAAGCUGCGGCAGCGACACUGUGUGUUGUUGGGUAGGGGAGCGUUCUGUAAGCCUGUGAAGGUGUGUCGUGAGGCAUGCUGGAGGUAUCAGAAGUGCGAAUGCUGACAUAAGUAACGAUAAAGCGGGUGAAAAGCCCGCUCGCCGGAAGACCAAGGGUUCCUGUCCAACGUUAAUCGGGGCAGGGUGAGUCGACCCCUAAGGCGAGGCCGAAAGGCGUAGUCGAUGGGAAACGGGUUA
This 1399-nucleotide ribosomal RNA is filed under the name Salmonella enterica. RNAcentral describes it as "partial 23S ribosomal RNA". It matches the Rfam family "Bacterial large subunit ribosomal RNA", at positions 1 to 1432 of the family's 2925-position model. Lineage: Bacteria; Pseudomonadati; Pseudomonadota; Gammaproteobacteria; Enterobacterales; Enterobacteriaceae. The record is from RNAcentral.